UACGUAGGUGGCGAGCGUUGUCCGGAAUUAUUGGGCGUAAAGGGAGCGCAGGCGGGAAGGCAAGUCAGUCUUAAAAGUGCGGGGCUCAACCCCGUGAUGGGAUUGAAACUGUCUUUCUUGAGUGCAGGAGAGGAAAGCGGAAUUCCUAGUGUAGCGGUGAAAUGCGUAGAUAUUAGGAGGAACACCAGUGGCGAAGGCGGCUUUCUGGACUGUAACUGACGCUGAGGCUCGAAAGCGUGGGGAGC
This 245-nucleotide ribosomal RNA is filed under the name uncultured Selenomonas sp. RNAcentral's name for it is "partial 16S ribosomal RNA". It matches the Rfam family "Bacterial small subunit ribosomal RNA", at positions 524 to 769 of the family's 1533-position model. The record is from RNAcentral. Lineage: Bacteria; Bacillati; Bacillota; Negativicutes; Selenomonadales; Selenomonadaceae.